CACGUAGGGUGCGAGCGUUGUCCGGAAUUAUUGGGCGUAAAGAGCUCGUAGGCGGCUCGGUAAGUCGGAUGUGAAACCUCCAGGCUCAACCUGGAGACGCCAUCUGAUACUGCCGUGGCUUGAGUCCGGUAGAGGAGCAGGGAAUUCCUGGUGUAGCGGUGAAAUGCGCAGAUAUCAGGAGGAACACCAGCGGCGAAGGCGCUGCUCUGGGCCGGUACUGACGCUGAGGAGCGAAAGCGUGGGGAGCGAACAGG
RNAcentral lists this ribosomal RNA (254 nucleotides) under uncultured bacterium. RNAcentral describes it as "partial 16S ribosomal RNA". It matches the Rfam family "Bacterial small subunit ribosomal RNA", at positions 524 to 776 of the family's 1533-position model. The record is from RNAcentral.